AGGCCAAGCUCACGGCAAGGGGCGUGGCAGCCAGAGACACCCCCGGAUGCGGGGUUCAGGCCCGAGAUGCUCCCCGCGGACAGGACGGGCAGACAGGUUCCAAAUACCGAAGAGCUUAGAAUCAUCUCAAAAUUUGAAAAAAAAUUACUUUUAUAAUCAUUAAUAACAAGCCCCUAAGACGAGUCUGCGUACGAGUUUUAGGUGUCGGAGGUGCAUCCAGGGAGGAGGCGGGGCAAGUGGACGGCCAGGUCACUGCACAUAAAGACUGAGAACAUUUCUCAAAC
Long non-coding RNA from Suricata suricatta (meerkat), 284 nucleotides. RefSeq lists it as uncharacterized. Lineage: Eukaryota; Metazoa; Chordata; Mammalia; Carnivora; Herpestidae. The transcript is spliced from 3 exons. The record is from RefSeq and is a predicted model, not a curated record.